This 840-nucleotide ribosomal RNA is filed under the name uncultured bacterium. Its description in RNAcentral is "bacterial SSU rRNA". It matches the Rfam family "Bacterial small subunit ribosomal RNA", at positions 60 to 859 of the family's 1533-position model. The record is from RNAcentral.
AGUCGAGCGAGCUUGCCUAGAUGAAUUUGGUGCUUGCACCAGAUGAAACUAGAUACAAGCGAGCGGCGGACGGGUGAGUAACACGUGGGUAACCUGCCCAAGAGACUGGGAUAACACCUGGAAACAGAUGCUAAUACCGGAUAACAACACUAGACGCAUGUCUAGAGUUUAAAAGAUGGUUCUGCUAUCACUCUUGGAUGGACCUGCGGUGCAUUAGCUAGUUGGUAAGGUAACGGCUUACCAAGGCAAUGAUGCAUAGCCGAGUUGAGAGACUGAUCGGCCACAUUGGGACUGAGACACGGCCCAAACUCCUACGGGAGGCAGCAGUAGGGAAUCUUCCACAAUGGACGCAAGUCUGAUGGAGCAACGCCGCGUGAGUGAAGAAGGGUUUCGGCUCGUAAAGCUCUGUUGGUAGUGAAGAAAGAUAGAGGUAGUAACUGGCCUUUAUUUGACGGUAAUUACUUAGAAAGUCACGGCUAACUACGUGCCAGCAGCCGCGGUAAUACGUAGGUGGCAAGCGUUGUCCGGAUUUAUUGGGCGUAAAGCGAGUGCAGGCGGUUCAAUAAGUCUGAUGUGAAAGCCUUCGGCUCAACCGGAGAAUUGCAUCAGAAACUGUUGAACUUGAGUGCAGAAGAGGAGAGUGGAACUCCAUGUGUAGCGGUGGAAUGCGUAGAUAUAUGGAAGAACACCAGUGGCGAAGGCGGCUCUCUGGUCUGCAACUGACGCUGAGGCUCGAAAGCAUGGGUAGCGAACAGGAUUAGAUACCCUGGUAGUCCAUGCCGUANACGAUGAGUGCUAAGUGUUGGGAGGUUUCCGCCUCUCAGUGCUGCAGCUAACGCA